AUUGAACGCUGGCGGCAUGCUUUACACAUGCAAGUCGAACGGCAGCGAGGAGAAGCUUGCUUCUCUGUCGGCGAGUGGCGAACGGGUGAGUAUAGCAUCGGAACGUGCCAAGUAGUGGGGGAUAACCAAACGAAAGGUUGGCUAAUACCGCGGAAGCUCUAAGGAGGAAAGUAGGGGAGCUAAAUAAGGCCUUACGCUAUUUGAUCGGUCGAUGUCGGAUUAGCUAGUUGGUGGGGUAAUGGCUCACCUAGGCAGUGAUCCGUAGCGGGUCUGAGAGGACGAUCCGCCACACUGGGACUGAGACACGGCCCAGACUCCUACGGGAGGCAGCAGUAGGGAAUUUUCGACAAUGGGCGAAACCCUGAUCCAGCCAUGCCGCGUGUAUGAAGAAGGCCUUAGGGUUGUAAAGUACUUUUGUUAGGGAAGAACAGCUAGUUUUUAAUAAGAAUUAGUGAUGACGGUACCUAAAGAAUAAGCACCGGCUAACUACGUG
RNAcentral lists this ribosomal RNA (493 nucleotides) under uncultured bacterium. RNAcentral describes it as "partial 16S ribosomal RNA". It matches the Rfam family "Bacterial small subunit ribosomal RNA", at positions 30 to 507 of the family's 1533-position model. The record is from RNAcentral.